Molecule: long non-coding RNA, 5295 nt
Filed under: Sus scrofa (pig)
Lineage: Eukaryota; Metazoa; Chordata; Mammalia; Artiodactyla; Suidae
Description: lncRNA (ENSSSCG00005029908.1)
Source: RNAcentral
GCAGGUGGUGCGGAGAAGAAAGUUUAAAGAGGUGCGUGGAUAAGCUCCGUAUAUUUAUGCCCAUAAAAUUGUGGAAGAAAAUACAAUAAAUGUUUGGUAGAGGUUGUCUCUGAGUGGUAAUUAUGUUAUUUUUAUUUUUGUCUUAGAUUUUUCCACAAUGAACAUUUAUUUUCAUAAGAACAAAAAAAGACAAAAGUAAAAAUAACUAAUGCUUAUAUAACAUUUACUCUGCGCCAGGUGUUGCAAAAUGCUUUUGUUGUUGGCUGCAGCGUGCAGCGGCUUGAUGUGGGAUCUCAGUUCGCAGACCAGUAGCAGUGAAGCUCUGAGUCCUGACUGCUGUACCACCAGGGAACUCCCGAUAUAUUAACUGAUUUAAUUCUCACGCAGUCCUAGCAGAAAGUAUCAGUACUCUCAUCAUUUUAUAGAUGAAGAAAGUGAGGCACAGAAAGGUUCCCAAGGUCCCAGAGCCAGUUAAUUACAGAGCCAAGAUGAUAACUGAGACCAUGGCUCCAGAGUCCUUAGGAAAGUAGGUCUCACAGCUUAUCAGGAACUUUUCCUCUCUUUUCUCCUUGUGGAAAAACAGAUUCUUAAAGUUCCCUAAACACCACCUCCUACAUGAAGUCUUCCUGGUCUACCCAUCUUCCUUCAUAGCUGUUAGCUCCUUCCAUGUCAGUACUUCCUUUUUGCAACUGAGUUGCAGUUUGUGCCACACAAGUAGGUUAAGUUGAUUUUGUGUGUGUGUGUGCCAUUUUAACUAUUUUUAAGCAUGCAGUUCAUUGUCAUUAACUACAUUCACAAUGUUGCGCAACCAUCACUGCUGUAUGUUUCCAAAACUUUUUCAUGAGUGCAAGCAGAAACCCUGUUAACUAUUAAGCAAUAACUCCCCAUUCUUCUUUCUCCCCAUUCCUUGGUAACCCCUAACUUACUUUCCGUCUCUAUGGAUUUGCCUGUUCUAGAUAUUUCAUGUCAGCUGAAUUUUACAGUAUAUGUCCUUUUGUGUCUGGCUUAUACUUAGCAUAGUGUUUUCAAAGUUCAUCCAUGUUGUAUGUGUCAGAAAUUCAUUAUGGCUGAUUAAUGUUCUGUUGCAUGGAUAUACCACAUUUUGUUUAUCCAUUCAUCCGUCAAUAAACACUUGGGGAGUUCCCGUUGCAGCUCAGCGAUAAUGAACCCAACUAGUAUCCACGAGGAUCAGGGUUCAAUCCCUGGCCCCGCUCAGUGGGUUAAGGAUCUGGUGUUGCCAAGAGUUUCAGUAUAGGUUGAAGACGUGGCUCAGAGCCUGAGACAUGGGUCAGAUGCUGUGGCUGUGACCUGCAUCUGCAGCUCCAAUUCGACCCUUAGCCUGGGAACUUCCAUAUACUGCAGGUGCAGCCCUAAAAAGGAAAAAAAGACCAACAAGAAAAACCACUUGGGUUGUUUCUACCUUUUGGCUAAUGUAGAUAAUGCUGUAAAGAACACUGGCAUUUAGUGAUCUAUUUUGAGUUCCUCUUUUUUGUUUGUUUGUUUUUGUUUUUUGUCUUUUUGCCUUUUCUAUAGGGCUGUUCCCGCGGCAUAUGGAGGUUCCCAGGCUGGUGGCUACAGCUCCCACUCGAUCCCUAGCUUGGGAACCUCCAUAUGCCACGGGAGCAGCCCAAGAAAUAGCAAAAAGACAAAAAAAAAAACAAAACCAAAACUUGGUGCUGACUGUUGCUGCAGCCUAAAUGCAGCCCUCCUCUCAAUCCUCGACUGGCUCUUUCCCAUCCUCAGGUUUCAGUUCAAUUCUUUUAAUUUUUUAUCAAUUUGUUUCUUUUAUUUAUUUUUUGCUUUUUUGAGGGGCACCUGCAGCAUAUGGAAGUUUCCAGGCAAGGGGUCCAUUCGGAGCUGCAGCUGCUGGCCUACACCACAACAGCAGCAAUGCCAGAUCCUUAACCACUGAAAGAGGCCAGGGAUCGCACCCAAUCCUCAUGGAUAUCAGUUGGGUUCGUAACCCGCUGAGCCACAACGAGAACUCUCAGAUUUCAAUUCAAAUGACACCUCUGGGAGUUCUCUUAUGGUGCAGUGGGUUAGUUAAGGAUCCAGGGUUGUCAGUGCUGCCACUCGGAUCACUGAUGUGGCUUGGAUUCGAUCCCUGGCCCAAGAACUUCCACAUGCCCUGAGCACAGCCAAAACAAAGAAAUGCACUUCUUCAGUGAGUCCUUUCACCACCCUCUAAACCAGUAGCGCUGAUCCUACAGUCACUCUCUAUGUCAUCCCUCUUUUAUUUUCCUUGUAGCACUUAGCACUCUUUGAGAUAGUUUUCUUUACUUGGUGAACUUGUUCAGAGACUGUUUUACUAGAUAUGAGCUCCAGAAGUGUGCACGCCCUGUCUAUCCUGUUUGCUGCUCUGUGCAAACAGUAGUGCUUAGUACACAGUAGGCCUUCAGCAAUUACUAGAUAAAUGAGUGAAUGAAUGCCCGUAUGCAUUUUUUUUUUUGUCUUUUCUUUUCUUUUUUUUUUUUUUUUUUUUUUUUUUUUUGCUAUUUCUUGGGCCGCUCCCGCAGCAUAUGGAGGUUCCCAGGCUAGGGGUCGAAUCGGAGCUGUAGCCACCGGCCUACACCAAAGCCACAGCAACUCAGGAUCCGAGCCGCAUCUGCAACCUACACCACAGCUCACGGCAACGCUGGAUUGUUAACCCACUGAGCAAGGGCAGGGACCGAAUCCGAAACCUCAUGGUUCCUAGUCGGAUUCGUUAACCACUGCGCCACGACGGGAACUCCCCCGUAUGCAUUUUUGAAUCAUUUUCGGAUGUCUGUCAAGUCUGUAUGUUAAUGUGUGCUCAACUCAAAUAGGCCUUAUGUCAACUCUGGCUCCCUCCACUCUUCCCUGAGCUCUGGAGGGCAGGAACCAUGUCCAAUCCAUCAUUGCACCUUGGAGCAGUUCUGCAAGUGCACUGCCUACAGUGAAGGGCCAGAAUUUUAAAUUUCCAGUCCACUGCAGACUGGUACUUUUGAAAAAUACAGUAACAAUGUUAGGGAAAUGUCAGCUUGCUAGAAAACUUUUUGAAAGCUUAUUCUCGAUUUCUGUGCUUAUAGUGUCCUGAGCAGGUGAUGAACAGUUUACAGUUUGAGUCACACUGCCUUAGAGGUCCGCACAAUACAUGGUAGGUAGAUGUCAGUGUUUAGAACACUGACUUUUUCUUUCUUCCUCCCUCUCUUUCUUUUCUUCCUUCCCUUCCUUCCUUUCUUCUUUCACCACCCCACAACACAUGGAGUUCCCAAGCCAGGGAUCAGAUCUGAGCUGCAGUUGCAACCCAGGCCACAGCUUCGGCAAUGCAGGCUCCUUUAACCCACUGUGCCAGGGUGAGGAUCAAACCUGCAUUCCAGGGCUACAGAGAUGCUGCCCAUCCUGUUGCACCAUAGCAGGAACUCCUGCCUUGACCUCUUAGAAAACCAAGACAUCAUCUACAUGGGAUUAAAGACAAAGAAGGAGGGGAACAGGGGAACAGACUUCGUUUAUUGCAAAACAUCUAGUAAAUGCCAACUGUUAGAUUGAUGCUGUCCACUGGAAAUUUUUUUUUUUAAGGCCGCACCUGCUGCAUAUGAAGUUCCCAGGCUAGGGGCCCAAUCGGAGCUGUAGCUUCCGGCCUUUGCCACAGCCAUAGCAACUUGGGAUCUGAGCCACAAUGCAACUUACACCACAGCUCACGGCAACGCCAGAUCUUUAAUUCAUGGAGCAAGGCCGGGGAUCGAACCCACAUCCUCAUGGAUACUAGUCCAGUUCAUUACCGCUGAGCCACAACAGAACUCCUGCAACUUUUUGCGGCAAUGUAGAUGUUUUAUAACUGUGCUAUCCAAUAUGAUGGCCACUAGCCACAUGUGUCUGUUGAACACUUGUAAUGUGGCAAGUCAAGGAAUCAAAUUUUCUGUUUUUAUUUUAGUUAAUUUAAAUAGCCACAUAUAACUAUUAGCAAACACUUUUUUUUUUCUUUUUUGUAUGUACCUGCUGCAUGUGAAAGUUCCCAGACCAGGGAUCGAACCCACGUCACAGUUGCAGCCUUUGCCACAGCUAUGGCAAUGCCAGACCCUUAACCUACAAGGGAACUUCCUAAUGGCAAAUACUUUUGAUAGUGCAGUUAUAACAAGUUAUAUCUUUGAAAACAAAAUGCCUCCAUCUUUAGCACCUGAUAUCCAAUCAGUUUCCAAGAUGUGUCCGCUCUUCUGCCUAAAUGUUGGUCCAGUCAGACCUUUCUCCAUCCCCCAACUCAGUGGAUAGUAAUCCUGCUCAGAGUCAUGCAUCCUUGAUUUCUCCCUCUCCUUAAAUACUCCCUCUCCCUAAAUAUUCCCUCUGCAACCUCCAAUUUAUCACCACGUCCUCUCAGUAUUAUCUCUUAAGCACCUUACAGUCCCCUCUAAUUCUCCAUCUCUACCACCACCAUUACCUCUCACCUAGACAGUAGCCCCCAAACCAGCUUCCUUGCAUCAGGUCUUGCUCACCAUUCCCAGCCCCUAGUGCUCUUCGGAAAACCCUUGAGUGGCUCCCCAUUAUUUAUUAGGAUAAAGACAAACCUCUUCCUGAGCCUACAACCCCCUCCAUAGUCCUUGGUCUGGCCCUAUUCCUACUGCUGACUAGGUCAAACCCUUCCUUCCUUCCUUCCUUCUCACUCUCUUUCUCGCUUGCUUGCUUUCUUUUUUUUUUUUUUCUCAUUUUUUCAUAGAAGGCUGUCUUGAUCAAUGCAGUUCUUCUUUGAGCAUCAGGCAUAGUUUCUUUCUUUUUUUUUUUAGUUUUUAGGGCCGUACCUGUGGCAUAUGGAGGUUCCCAGGCUAGGGGUCAAAUCGGAGCUAGAGCUGCUGGCCUACAUCUCAGCCACAGCAAAGGCAGAACGGAACCGCAUCUGCAACCUACACCACAACUCACAGCAACGCUGGAUCCUUAACCCACUGAGCAAGGCCAGGGAUCAAACCUGCAACCUCAUGGUUAUUAGUUGGAUUCGUUUCUGCUGCACCAUGAUGGGAACUCCAGGCACAGUUUCAACUUUACUUUCAUUUGUAUUGAGUUGAUUAAUGGUCUUCCACACUCCCCCAACUAGACUACCAGCUCUGUGAGGACCAAGAAUGGGCUGGUUUUGCUCAACAUUUUAUUCCCCUGCCUCACACCUGGUGAUGAUGUUCAAUAAAUAUUUGUUAUAACGGCAGUUUAGGGAGUUCCCUGGUGGCUCAGCAGGUUAAGCCAGCAUUGUCACUGCUGUAGCUCUGGUUACUGCUGUGGUGAAGAUUUGAUCCCUGGUCCAGAAAGCUCUGCAUGCCAAGGGCGUGGCCAAAAAAAAAAAAAAAAAAAAAAAAA